AUGACAGGCAGCGAAGGACUACAGGUCGGAUUCGAACCCGGGCCGCUGCAGCAACUACAUAAAACGGAAUCACCAACUCUGUUCCCUUUGGUUCAAUGCAACUCUGGGUCUGAAGAUAAAAUCACUGUUGGUUGUCUUGCACACGACUUCUUCCCAAAGGGUCUUGCUUUCCAAUGGACUGAUGCCAGUGGAACCAGCCUGACUUCUGAUCAAUAUCCUCUAGCAGAGAAAAACAACAAAUAUACAGGAGUCAGCUUGAUCAAAGUAUCAAAGACUGACUGGAAUUCAUGGAAAUCUUUUAAUUGUUCUGUGUCUCACCAAGGAGGCCCCAACAGUCUGAAUGUGGAAAGACCGUCAUUCUCUCCAAAGGUAACUUUGGUAUCAGUGCCAAGGGGAGACUCUCAGGCCCUGGUGUGUACAGUUGAGGAUUUUCUUCCAAAAGACUUGACAAUCAAGUGGAAAAAGAAUCAGAACAAUGAGGCUGGCACUAACUGGGACCCCGUAAUGAAUGGAGAACUGCUCAGGGCGUCCCUCACCUCCUCAGAGCCAGGGUCAGCAGAGUCUGAGAGAACCCGUCCCCAGCUCCUGUACCUGUGGGGGAGUGGAAAGGACCUCACUCGGCUUGGCUGCACCUUGGAUUCCGUCAGAAACCAGGGGAAGGACAUAGGAAUGGAUCGGACGCAUUGA
Morone saxatilis (striped sea-bass) is the source of this 687-nucleotide non-coding RNA. Lineage: Eukaryota; Metazoa; Chordata; Actinopteri; Moronidae. The record is from the annotation of a RefSeq genome assembly.